UACAGGGGGGGCAAGCGUUGUUCGGAUUUACUGGGCGUGAAGAGCGUGUAGGCGGCCAAGCAGGUCCGUUGUGAAAACUGGAGGCUUAACCUCCAGACGUCGACGGAAACCGCGUGGCUAGAGUCCGGAAGAGGAGAGUGGAAUUCCUGGUGUAGCGGUGAAAUGCGCAGAUAUCAGGAAGAACACCAAUGGCGAAGGCGGCACGCUGGACCUCUUCUGACGCUGAGGCGCGAAAGCCAGGGGAGCAAACGGG
Molecule: ribosomal RNA, 253 nt
Filed under: uncultured bacterium
Lineage: Bacteria
Description: partial 16S ribosomal RNA
Rfam family: Bacterial small subunit ribosomal RNA
Source: RNAcentral